Molecule: transfer RNA, 73 nt
Filed under: Daphnia pulex (common water flea)
Lineage: Eukaryota; Metazoa; Arthropoda; Branchiopoda; Diplostraca; Daphniidae
Description: tRNA-Tyr
Rfam family: tRNA
About the family: Transfer RNA (tRNA) molecules are approximately 80 nucleotides in length. Their secondary structure includes four short double-helical elements and three loops (D, anti-codon, and T loops).
Source: RNAcentral
CCGUUGGUAGCUCAGAUGGUAGAGCGGUGGACUGUAGAUCCAUAGGUCGCUGGUUCAAUUCCGGCCCAACGGA